RNAcentral lists this ribosomal RNA (253 nucleotides) under uncultured bacterium. RNAcentral describes it as "partial 16S ribosomal RNA". It matches the Rfam family "Bacterial small subunit ribosomal RNA", at positions 524 to 776 of the family's 1533-position model. The record is from RNAcentral.
UACGGGGGGAGCAAGCGUUGUUCGGAUUUACUGGGCGUAAAGGGCGCGUAGGCGGCCAACUAAGUCAGACGUGAAAUCCCUCGGCUUAACCGGGGAACUGCCUCUGAUACUGGAUGGCUUGAGAUUGGGAGAGGGAUGCGGAAUUCCAGGUGUAGCGGUGAAAUGCGUAGAUAUCUGGAGGAACACCGGUGGCGAAGGCGGCAUCCUGGACCAACACUGACGCUGAGGAGCGAAAGCCAGGGGAGCAAACGGG